Molecule: small RNA, 78 nt
Filed under: Flavobacterium frigidimaris
Lineage: Bacteria; Pseudomonadati; Bacteroidota; Flavobacteriia; Flavobacteriales; Flavobacteriaceae
Description: Flavo-1 RNA
Rfam family: Flavo-1 RNA
Source: RNAcentral
GAGUAGCACCGAUCGAAAUGGUAUCCUUUUUCUGGCUUCUUUAGAUAGGAAAAUAUGUAAUGCGGAGCGGGACUAAAG